This 506-nucleotide ribosomal RNA is filed under the name uncultured bacterium. Its description in RNAcentral is "partial 16S ribosomal RNA". It matches the Rfam family "Bacterial small subunit ribosomal RNA", at positions 29 to 523 of the family's 1533-position model. The record is from RNAcentral.
AGUGAACGCUGGCGGUAGGCCUAACACAUGCAAGUCGAACGGCAGCGUAGGAGAGCUUGCUCUCUGGGUGGCGAGUGGCGGACGGGGGAGGUAUAUGUCGGAAUCUACUCUGUAGCGGGGGAUGACGUAGGGAAACUGACGUUAAUACCGCAUACGACCUACGGGUGUAAGCAGGGGACCUUGCGGCCUUGCGCGAUUGAAUGAGCCGAGGUCGGAUUAGCUAGUUGGCGGGGUAAAGGCCCACCAAGGCGACGAUCCGUAGCUGGUCUGAGAGGAUGAUCAGCCACACUGGAACUGAGACACGGUCCAGACUCCUACGGGAGGCAGCAGUGGGGAAUAUUGGACAAUGGGCGCAAGCCUGAUCCAGCCAUACCGCGUGGGUGAAGAAGGCCUUCGGGUUGUAAAGCCCUUUUGUUGGGAAAGAAAUCCAGCUGGCUAAUACCCGGUUGGGAUGACGGUACCCAAAGAAUAAGCACCGGCAAACUUCGUGCCAGCAGCCGCAGUAA